RNAcentral lists this ribosomal RNA (101 nucleotides) under uncultured bacterium. RNAcentral describes it as "partial 16S ribosomal RNA". It matches the Rfam family "Bacterial small subunit ribosomal RNA", at positions 1384 to 1482 of the family's 1533-position model. The record is from RNAcentral.
UACACACCGCCCGUCACACCAUGGGAGUUGGCUUUACCUUAAGCCGGUGCGCGAACCCGCAAGGGACGCAGCCGACCACGGUCAGGUCAGCGACUGGGGUG